GCCUGUAGUCCCAGCUACUCAGAAGGCGAAGGCAAGAGGGUCACUUGAGCUCAGGAGUUCCAGGCUGUAGUGAACCACACUGAUCAGGUGUGCACACUGAGUUCAGUAUCAAUAUGGUGACCUCCUGGGAGUGUGGGGGGCCACAAGGUUGUCUGAGGAGGGGUGAACUGGCCCAGGUCAGAAACAGAGUUAAGUCAAAACUACUGUGCUGAUCAGUAGUGUAAUCAGGCCUGUGCAUAGCCAUUGUGCUCCAGCCUGGGCAACAUGGUGAGACCCCAUUCUCU
Molecule: signal recognition particle RNA, 284 nt
Filed under: Zalophus californianus (California sea lion)
Lineage: Eukaryota; Metazoa; Chordata; Mammalia; Carnivora; Otariidae
Description: Metazoan signal recognition particle RNA (ENSZCAG00015020886.1)
Rfam family: Metazoan signal recognition particle RNA
About the family: The signal recognition particle (SRP) is a universally conserved ribonucleoprotein. It is involved in the co-translational targeting of proteins to membranes.
Source: RNAcentral